UAAUUUAGUUUAGUGAAGUUUAUUAAAUUAUACGAAAGUGCCUUAUUUUUUAAAGUAUUUCAAUGUAUCAUUACAAAUAAAUACGCCGUAUUUUGGUGAGACUUUUGAGGGAACAGGACAAGCUGAAGCUGUCCCCUAAGAAAGCGAGCCAACAAUACGAAAUAUUGUAAAUAAAGAA
Molecule: non-coding RNA, 178 nt
Filed under: Staphylococcus lugdunensis
Lineage: Bacteria; Bacillati; Bacillota; Bacilli; Caryophanales; Staphylococcaceae
Description: S. aureus tsr24 small RNA
Rfam family: S. aureus tsr24 small RNA
Source: RNAcentral